Molecule: non-coding RNA, 101 nt
Organism: Thalictrum thalictroides
Lineage: Eukaryota; Viridiplantae; Streptophyta; Magnoliopsida; Ranunculales; Ranunculaceae
Source: the annotation of a GenBank genome assembly
UGGCUGUAGCUAAAUUCAAUCAGAUAUUCAGAUGUUUACUGGCCGAUUGUUGUGAGUUUCAAUCUCUGUCGACAGAUCUGCUUAACGAAAAUCUUACACCA